UAGGGAAUCUUCGGCAAUGGGGGCAACCCUGACCGAGCAACGCCGCGUGAGUGAAGAAGGUUUUCGGAUCGUAAAGCUCUGUUGUAAGAGAAGAACGUGUGUGAGAGUGGAAAGUUCACACAGUGACGGUAACUUACCAGAAAGGGACGGCUAACUACGUGCCCG
This 165-nucleotide ribosomal RNA is filed under the name uncultured bacterium. RNAcentral's name for it is "partial 16S rRNA". It matches the Rfam family "Bacterial small subunit ribosomal RNA", at positions 355 to 511 of the family's 1533-position model. The record is from RNAcentral.